Molecule: ribosomal RNA, 397 nt
Filed under: uncultured bacterium
Lineage: Bacteria
Description: bacterial SSU rRNA
Rfam family: Bacterial small subunit ribosomal RNA
Source: RNAcentral
AUUGAACGCUGGCGGCAGGCCUAACACAUGCAAGUCGAGCGAGAAAGCCCUUCGGGGUGAGUACAGCGGCGGACGGGUGAGUAACGCGUAGGAAUCUACCCGGUAGUGGGGGACAACUCGGGGAAACUCGAGCUAAUACCGCAUACGCCCUAUGGGGGAAAGCGGGGGACCUUCGGGCCUCGCGCUAUCGGAUGAGCCUGCGUUGGAUUAGCUAGUUGGUGGGGUAAAGGCCCACAAGGCGACGAUCCAUAGCUGGUCUGAGAGGAUGAUCAGCCACACUGGGACUGAGACACGGCCCAGACUCCUACGGGAGGCAGCAGUGGGGAAUAUUGCGCAAUGGGGGCAACCCUGACGCAGCCAUGCCGCGUGUGUGAAGAAGGCCUUCGGGUUGUAAAGC